GGUGGAGCGCAAGCCUCGGCGUGGAAGCCCUAUAGACGACGCAGGCUGGUGGGCGGGCGGUCAAGGUUCAGCGUGCAGCCUCGGAGGGGCACAGCUUUGUGCCGACAAAUGAUCUGGGAAGGUGCCGAUCGGGCCGCCUCUGGAACAGGACGAGCGUCUGAGGUGCCCCGGGCAACGACAGCUGCAAGGCCUGAUGUUUGAGCGCGCACGGAGCGAGUGA
Molecule: long non-coding RNA, 220 nt
Organism: Cuculus canorus (common cuckoo)
Lineage: Eukaryota; Metazoa; Chordata; Aves; Cuculiformes; Cuculidae
Exons: 4
Source: RefSeq, a predicted model, not a curated record